This 85-nucleotide transfer RNA is filed under the name Felis catus (domestic cat). It matches the Rfam family "tRNA". Rfam says of the family: Transfer RNA (tRNA) molecules are approximately 80 nucleotides in length. The record is from Rfam by way of RNAcentral. Lineage: Eukaryota; Metazoa; Chordata; Mammalia; Carnivora; Felidae.
GCCUGGGUGGCUCAGUGGGCUGAGCAUCUGACUUCAGCUCAGGUCAUGAUCUCGCAGUUUGUGAGUUCGAGCCCCGCGUCGGGCU